This 1222-nucleotide unclassified non-coding RNA is filed under the name Hevea brasiliensis (rubber tree). The record is from RNAcentral. Lineage: Eukaryota; Viridiplantae; Streptophyta; Magnoliopsida; Malpighiales; Euphorbiaceae.
UGUUCAUAUUCUUGAUCACUACCACUUCUCUUUCCUGUCCAGAUGAUCAGAAGCAAGCCCUUCUCCAAUUCAAAUCCUUGAUUAUCAAUAUCAUCAACUCAUCUUCUUCUGAUUAUUAUUAUCCUCUUGGCUUGGAUUCAUGGAACUCAAGUUCAGAUUGUUGUUAUUGGGAGAUGGUGACCUGCAAUUCUCGCUCAAGUUCAAGAUCAGUGAUAGCUCUUGAUCUUCACGCCGUGGUUCCAUCUCAAGUGCCCAUAUCAAUACCUUCUUCUGUGUUAUCACCUCUCUCUCGCAUUAAAACCUUGAUGUUGCUCGAUAUAUCCUAUAAUUACAUACUGGGUGAGAUUCCAGCUAACGUAUUUGCCAAUCUCAGCAGAUUGGUUCAUCUAGACAUGAUGUUAAACAAUUUUAGUGGCUCCAUCCCUCCUCGUAUCUUCAAUAUCUUGAUAUCAGUAACAACCUUCUGACUGGUAUGCUAAGCCAGGAAGUGGGCUCCCUUGAAAACUUGAGGGUACUGAAGUUGGAUUAUAAUUCUAUAGCAGGAAAUAUCUCUCGAGAGAUUGNNNNNUACAAAAUUGCAGCGGUUGAGUCUUCGCAGCAACAAUUUUGUAUGGAGCAUUCCAUCUUCUAUUCUCUAUCUGAAGGAAUUGCAGGAAUUGGACUUGAGGGACAACGCUUUAUCAAUGGAGAUUCCUGCUAAUAUAGGUGAUCUUACCAACCUGAUCACGCUGGCCUUGAGCAAUAACCGGCUAAGUGGAGGAAUCCCAUCAUCAAUACAGAAACUGAGCAAGUUGCAAGUUCUCAGGUUGGAAGACAACAUUCUUGCUGGAGGAAUUCCAACAUGGUUGUUUGACAUGAAGAGCCUGAAGGAUCUGUUUAUUGGUGGGAAUAAUCUGACUUGGGAUAACAACGCAGACUUAAUGCCAACUUUUAUGUUAUCUCAGUUGUCUAUAAAAUCAUGCGGGCUUCAAGGAAGAAUCCCAGAUUGGAUUUCGACGCAGAGGACUCUUGAUUUCUUGGAUUUGAGUGAGAAUAUGCUCCAAGGACCCUUUCCGCAAUGGCUAGCUGAAAUGAAUCUAGGCGCCAUUGUCCUGUCUGAUAACAAACUCUCAGGUGCUCUUCCUCCGCGUCUGUUUGAAUCUCAGAGUUUAUCUGUACUUGCCUUAUCAAGGAACAACUUCUCUGGAGAAUUGCCAGCAAAUAUUGGGAAUGCCAAUGCUAU